GGGAGUUUUUGAGAUCCAUCUCUUGUUGUCAAGUUCAUCCUCUCUAGGUGGGAGUUUCUUCAUUGACGAGGAGAAGAAAGUUGCUGUGGUUUUCGACGUAGACGCCAAAUCUUACGAGGUUAAGACCCAUGUCAACCAAACACCCAAUAUUAUUGGACAAGAUGGAUACUUCAAAUCUCUGAAUAUCGGAAAAGUUGGGUUUUUUGGACAAAUAGUUCCUAAAUAUUGUCUCCCACUU
Arabidopsis thaliana (thale cress) is the source of this 238-nucleotide long non-coding RNA. RefSeq annotates it as other RNA. The transcript has a single exon. NCBI's taxonomy places the organism in Eukaryota, Viridiplantae, Streptophyta, Magnoliopsida, Brassicales, Brassicaceae. The record is from RefSeq.